Molecule: ribosomal RNA, 253 nt
Filed under: uncultured bacterium
Lineage: Bacteria
Description: partial 16S ribosomal RNA
Rfam family: Bacterial small subunit ribosomal RNA
Source: RNAcentral
UACGGGGGGAGCAAGCGUUGUUCGGAUUUACUGGGCGUAAAGCGCGUGUAGGCGGCCUUGCAAGUUGGAUGUGAAAGCCCACGGCUCAACCGUGGAAGCGCAUCCAAAACUGCAUCGCUCGAGUCUCGGAGAGGAAGGUGGAAUGCUUGGUGUAGAGGUGAAAUUCGUAGAUAUCAAGCAGAACACCUGCGGCGAAGGCGGCCUUCUGGACGAUGACUGACGCUGAGACGCGAAAGCGUGGGGAGCAAAUAGG